CCAUCUAAAUCCCAUUUGCUUCAGAGCUAACCGUAAACAUUCUCGAGAACCCGCAUAAUUGAGAUCUGUUUUGACCAUCUCAUGGAUAUUUAAGGUCACAUGCAACGUAAAACACAACUUUGCAGAUUCUGAU
Long non-coding RNA from Haliotis rubra (blacklip abalone), 133 nucleotides. RefSeq lists it as uncharacterized. The record is from RefSeq and is a predicted model, not a curated record. NCBI's taxonomy places the organism in Eukaryota, Metazoa, Mollusca, Gastropoda, Lepetellida, Haliotidae. The transcript has 3 exons.